Molecule: ribosomal RNA, 440 nt
Filed under: uncultured bacterium
Lineage: Bacteria
Description: bacterial SSU rRNA
Rfam family: Bacterial small subunit ribosomal RNA
Source: RNAcentral
CCUACGGGUGGCUGCAGUCGAGAAUCUUCCGCAAUGGGCGAAAGCCUGACGGAGCGACGCCGCGUGCGGGAUGAAGGCCUUCGGGUUGUAAACCGCUGUCGUAGGGGAGGAAGGCCCUGUGAAGAACAGGGUUUGACCUAUCCUAGGAGGAAGGACGGGCUAAGUUCGUGCCAGCAGCCGCGGUAAUACGAACCGUCCAAACGUUAUUCGGAAUUACUGGGCUUAAAGGGUACGUAGGCGGCGCUUCAAGUCGGGUGUGAAAUCCCUCGGCUCAACCGAGGAAUUGCGCCCGAUACUGGAGUGCUCGAGGGAGACAGAGGUAAGCGGAACUGAUGGUGGAGCGGUGAAAUGCGUUGAUAUCAUCAGGAACACCAGUGGCGAAAGCGGCUUACUGGGUCUCUUCUGACGCUGAGGUACGAAAGCUAGGGGAGCGAAGGGGA